AUGAAUGGCUGGCCCGGGUGGGGAAGGCAGGAGGCGGCGAUCCCGGCGGAGGGGGCCGUUCGCCAGCUCCGAGGCAGAAAGUGCCACGACUCCACACGCGCGCACGCAGCCAGCGAGCGGCCGGAGCGGACGGCGGACGGGGCGGGCGGCGUCAGGGUCGCGGCGUCUACAGCUGCUCGGGGGCGGUUUCUUGGUGGAGGCUCGGCCGGCUCCUCUCUCCCGGCUCCGCGGCGGCGGCGAAGGCGGCGGCUCCUGCCCUCUCGCUCUCCCUCUCGUGUCUCUGGCUGCAGAAAGAAGCUUCCGGUUCUGAGGUCCUGGAGGUGCCAUUUCCCUCUCUGUUGAAGCAAAGGCGGGGGCAGACCUCCUAGUGAAAGGAAAGCAAGC
RNAcentral lists this long non-coding RNA (384 nucleotides) under Papio anubis (olive baboon). RNAcentral describes it as "lncRNA (ENSPANG00000049544.1)". Lineage: Eukaryota; Metazoa; Chordata; Mammalia; Primates; Cercopithecidae. The record is from RNAcentral.